This 498-nucleotide ribosomal RNA is filed under the name uncultured bacterium. Its description in RNAcentral is "partial 16S ribosomal RNA". It matches the Rfam family "Bacterial small subunit ribosomal RNA", at positions 30 to 523 of the family's 1533-position model. The record is from RNAcentral.
AUUGAACGCUGGCGGCAUGCCUUACACAUGCAAGUCGAACGGUAACAGGUCUUCGGAUGCUGACGAGUGGCGAACGGGUGAGUAAUACAUCGGAACGUGCCUAGUAGUGGGGGAUAACUACUCGAAAGAGUGGCUAAUACCGCAUGAGAUCUACGGAUGAAAGCAGGGGAUCGCAAGACCUUGUGCUACUAGAGCGGCCGAUGGCAAAUUAGGUAGUUGGUGGGAUAAAAGCUUACCAAGCCGACGAUCUGUAGCUGGUCUGAGAGGACGAUCAGCCACACUGGGACUGGGAAACGGCCCAGACUCCUACGGGAGGCAGCAGUGGGGAGUUGUGGACAAGGGGCGCAAGCCUGAUCCAGCAAUGACGCUUGCAGGAUGAAGGCCUUCGGGUUGUAAACUGCUUUUGUACGGAACGAAAAGCCCCGGGUUAAUACCCUGGGGUCAUGACGGUACCGUAAGAAUAAGCACCGGCUAACUACGUGCCAGCAGCCGCCGCAG